AGAGUUUGAUCAUGGCUCAGAUUGAACGCUGGCGGCAGGCCUAACACAUGCAAGUCGAACGGUAACAGAAAGCAGCUUGCUGCUUUGCUGACGAGUGGCGGACGGGUGAGUAAUGUCUGGGAAACUGCCCGAUGGAGGGGGAUAACUACUGGAAACGGUAGCUAAUACCGCAUAACGUCGCAAGACCAAAGAGGGGGACCUUAGGGCCUUUUGCCAUCGGAUGUGCCCAGAUGGGAUUAGCUAGUAGGUGGGGUAACGGCUCACCUAGGCGACGAUCCCUAGCUGGUCUGAGAGGAUGACCAGCCACACUGGAACUGAGACACGGUCCAGACUCCUACGGGAGGCAGCAGUGGGGAAUAUUGCACAAUGGGCGCAAGCCUGAUGCAGCCAUGCCGCGUGUAUGAAGAAGGCCUUCGGGUUGUAAAGUACUUUCAGCGGGGAGGAAGGGAGUAAAGUUAAUACCUUUGCUCAUUGACGUUACCCGCAGAAGAAGCACCGGCUAACUCCGUGCCAGCAGCCGCGGUAAUACGGAGGGUGCAAGCGUUAAUCGGAAUUACUGGGCGUAAAGCGCACGCAGGCGGUUUGUUAAGUCAGAUGUGAAAUCCCCGGGCUCAACCUGGGAACUGCAUCUGAUACUGGCAAGCUUGAGUCUCGUAGAGGGGGGUAGAAUUCCAGGUGUAGCGGUGAAAUGCGUAGAGAUCUGGAGGAAUACCGGUGGCGAAGGCGGCCCCCUGGACGAAGACUGACGCUCAGGUGCGAAAGCGUGGGGAGCAAACAGGAUUAGAUACCCUGGUAGUCCACGCCGUAAACGAUGUCGACUUGGAGGUUGUGCCCUUGAGGCGUGGCUUCCGGAGCUAACGCGUUAAGUCGACCGCCUGGGGAGUACGGCCGCAAGGUUAAAACUCAAAUGAAUUGACGGGGGCCCGCACAAGCGGUGGAGCAUGUGGUUUAAUUCGAUGCAACGCGAAGAACCUUACCUGGUCUUGACAUCCACGGAAGUUUUCAGAGAUGAGAAUGUGCCUUCGGGAACCGUGAGACAGGUGCUGCAUGGCUGUCGUCAGCUCGUGUUGUGAAAUGUUGGGUUAAGUCCCGCAACGAGCGCAACCCUUAUCCUUUGUUGCCAGCG
RNAcentral lists this ribosomal RNA (1126 nucleotides) under Escherichia coli. Its description in RNAcentral is "bacterial SSU rRNA". It matches the Rfam family "Bacterial small subunit ribosomal RNA", at positions 8 to 1123 of the family's 1533-position model. The record is from RNAcentral. Lineage: Bacteria; Pseudomonadati; Pseudomonadota; Gammaproteobacteria; Enterobacterales; Enterobacteriaceae.